GGGGAAUUUUGGACAAUGGGCGCAAGCCUGAUCCAGCAAUGCCGCGUGCAGGAUGAAGGCCUUCGGGUUGUAAACUGCUUUUGUACGGAACGAAAAGCCUCUCUCUAAUACCUUGUAGUUUUGACGUUACCAACAGAAUAAGCACCGGCUAACUACGUGCCAGCAGCCGCGGUAAUACGUAGGGUGCGAGCGUUAAUCGGAAUUACUGGGCGUAAAGCGUGCGCAGGCGGUUUUGUAAGACAGGCGUGAAAUCCCCGGGCUCAACCUGGGAACUGCGCUUGUGACUGCAAGACUAGAGUACGGCAGAGGGGGGUGGAAUUCCACGUGUAGCAGUGAAAUGCGUAGAGAUGUGGAGGAACACCAAUGGCGAAGGCAGCCCCCUGGGUCGAUACUGACGCUCAUGCACGAAAGCGUGGGGAGCAAACA
This 426-nucleotide ribosomal RNA is filed under the name uncultured beta proteobacterium. RNAcentral describes it as "bacterial SSU rRNA". It matches the Rfam family "Bacterial small subunit ribosomal RNA", at positions 356 to 774 of the family's 1533-position model. Lineage: Bacteria; Pseudomonadati; Pseudomonadota; Betaproteobacteria. The record is from RNAcentral.